UGUUCUUGGACAAAUCACACGGCUGCAGGUUGUUCAGAGGUGGUGCCGCAGGCUGAACAUGUCCUUCCUUUCCUAGAGCUGCCGACCUAUCCUGCUGCUUGGGUGUUGGUGAAUUCCUGCCUGGUGGCCCAGCCAAAAGCACAUCACUCUGCUACCUUAACAGGAAAUACACUGGCAUUGCAGAGAAGCUUAAUGUGAAGCUCCUGCACUAUUCUGAGAGCCUUUUAGGUGUCCCCAUUGCAUAUAACAUGAAAGUUGUGGUGAACUGGGAGAUAUUUAUGAUGAUCAAGGACACAUUAAUCUUAACAUUGAAGCAGAUUUUGUUAUUUUCUGCCCUGAACCAGGGUAAAAGGUUAUAGUACAGUUAACAAAGUGUCUUCUAGUCAGACUGGCUAUUUUGUACAAAAAUAUUUUAAUACGUCCAUCCCUAAACCUGAGAUGUCAGCUGAGCAGUGGCAGGCUGUGGAGAUAAAUGUGGGUGAUGAACCAGAAUAUGAAGUGUUUCAUCUAGAUUAAGAUGCUACUGAAAUAUUCUGCAUUUAGGGAAAACAAUCACUAGUUUACAACCCAAGAGCUCUGAAGUUUCUGAUAAACCAGCACUGAAGAAGCUUUUGAAAAACUUCCAAAGAAGAAAAAGAGAAACCAGAAAGACCCAGAGAUGAAUGAAGUGGAUGAUGGUACCACAAGCUAGCAAAUUUUGCAGAUGUCACCCCAAAGGAAGAGUUAGACUUACAGAUUAUUACUAAUGUGAAUAGCCUCUGGGAAGAUGAGCCAAAGGAGGAGAAAAAGAAAAAGCAUCAGGACUAGGACCUUGUUUUCCAAAGCAGUGACUCCAGCAGUUAUCAAAGUGACCAUAGAAAGAAAAAAAAAGAAAGAAACACAGUGAAGAAGCUAAAUUUACCCCACUUUUGGAAUGCUCGCCUAAACAGAAAAUAA
This 936-nucleotide long non-coding RNA is filed under the name Homo sapiens (human). Its description in RNAcentral is "non-protein coding lnc-CGA-3:1". Lineage: Eukaryota; Metazoa; Chordata; Mammalia; Primates; Hominidae. The record is from RNAcentral.